CCGCGAUUCGCCCUUCGGGGUGCACCAGGCGCGAAAACUUUACAAUGCUGGAAACUGCGAUAAGGGGACCUCGAGUGCCAUGAUACAAUCUUGGCUGUCACGAUGCCUAAAAAGCUUUGCAAAUCAGGGGACGGGCAAUACCGGUGCCACCCGCCGCGGUAUCACCGGUCGCUCAAGGGGUAACCUCUUUUAUGGGGUCUAAAGGGUCUGUACCCGGUCGGAUAAUUCUUUUGGGAAAUCCACCUGCUCAACAUUUGAGCUUUCAGAAUAUACUGUUCGGCUCGAAACCGGGAGAGGUGAAGAGGUACUUCAGGGGUAGGGGUGAAAUCUUGUAAUCCUUGAAGGACCACCAGUGGCAAAGGCGUCUCACCAAAACGGAACUAACGGCAAGGAUACAAAAGCUAGGGACACAAACCGAAUUAAAUACCCGGGUAGUCCUAGCCGUAAACAAUACUCGCUAGGUGUCAGCCACGGUGCGACCGUGGUUGGUGCCGUAGGGAACCCUUGAAGCGAGCCACCUGGGAAUUACAGCCGCAAGGCUGAAACUUAAAGGAAUUGGCGGGGAAGCAC
Molecule: ribosomal RNA, 570 nt
Filed under: uncultured archaeon
Lineage: Archaea
Description: bacterial SSU rRNA
Rfam family: Archaeal small subunit ribosomal RNA
Source: RNAcentral